Molecule: long non-coding RNA, 600 nt
Organism: Monomorium pharaonis (pharaoh ant)
Lineage: Eukaryota; Metazoa; Arthropoda; Insecta; Hymenoptera; Formicidae
Exons: 3
Source: RefSeq, a predicted model, not a curated record
GUUCUGUUGAAUUUUGAAAUGCACGAAGAAGGAGACAUUUAAUUGUAAUGUAUAGUAAUCUUGAAGUGCUUAAUACCAUAGCCACAAAUUUAAAUUAAAAACAUACCAGUGGUACAAUUAAACACUGGUCCGGAGCUACUUCAAACAACAUGCCACUAGAGUGCUAUCUACACGUUUCAAUCGUACAUUUUAAUAUGGAGAUACCAUAUAACUCUACCUCAAAUGACGUGAUAUCAGAGUGCAAUAUGCAUGUGCUAGUUUUACAAAAAGUAGUUUGGAGCUAGAAAAUGAGUUUACCUCAAUUGAUAUGUGUUCAAUGAUACAAAUGAAGAGGAUGUAAAUAAGUUUAUUGGACUACCAAAAGGUAACAAAGAAAGACAUAAGAUUAUCGGACUAAGGCGAAGAGGCAAUUGUUUAUAUAAUAAAUAUCCCAUGUAUAAUAAGGAAGGACUCAUAGUUUGUAGAAGACCAACAGAAUCAAGAAAAAAAGCUGCACAUGAUUUCAUAUGUUGUGCUGGAUGUAAGGGCUUUUUUACUAAGAACAAUGUACGAGUUUACGAUUAUUAAGGCAAUUUUUACAAGCCAUUGAAAAAUUAAUAA